Molecule: ribosomal RNA, 440 nt
Filed under: uncultured bacterium
Lineage: Bacteria
Description: partial 16S ribosomal RNA
Rfam family: Bacterial small subunit ribosomal RNA
Source: RNAcentral
CCUACGGGUGGCAGCAGUGGGGGAUAUUGCACAAUGGGGGGAACCCUGAUGCAGCGACGCCGCGUGGGUGAAGAAGCGCCUCGGCGCGUAAAGCCCUGUCAGCAGGGAAGAAAAUGACGGUACCUGAAGAAGAAGCCCCGGCUAACUACGUGCCAGCAGCCGCGGUAAUACGUAGGGGGCAAGCGUUAUCCGGAUUUACUGGGUGUAAAGGGGGCGCAGACGGCGAGGCAAGCCAGGAGUGAAAGCCCGGGGGCCAACCCCGGGACUGCUCUUGGAACUGCGUGGCUGGAGUGCAGGAGGGGCAGGCGGAAUUCCUGGUGUAGCGGUGAAAUGCGUAGAUAUCAGGAGGAACACCGGUGGCGAAGGCGGCCUGCUGGACUGCAACUGACGUUGAGGCCCGAAAGCGUGGGGAGCAAACAGGAUUAGAUACCCUUGUAGUC